GCCUUCCUAGUGUAGUGGUCAGCACGCUAGACGCAUAUUCGAGAGGUCCGUGGUUCGAAUCCCGGCGAAGGCG
This 73-nucleotide transfer RNA is filed under the name Stegodyphus mimosarum. It matches the Rfam family "tRNA". From Rfam's summary of the family: Transfer RNA (tRNA) molecules are approximately 80 nucleotides in length. Their secondary structure includes four short double-helical elements and three loops (D, anti-codon, and T loops). Lineage: Eukaryota; Metazoa; Arthropoda; Arachnida; Araneae; Eresidae. The record is from Rfam by way of RNAcentral.